AGUGAACGCUGGCGGUAGGCCUAACACAUGCAAGUCGAACGGCAGCACAGUAAGAGCUUGCUCUUACGGGUGGCGAGUGGCGGACGGGUGAGGAAUACAACGGACUCUACUUUUUCGUGGGGGAUAACGUAGGGAAACUUACGAUAAUACCGCAUACGACCUACGGGUGAAAGCAGGGGAACUUCGGGCCUUGCGCGGUUGAAUGAGCCGCUGAUGGAUUAGCUGGUUGGCGGGGUAAAGGCCAACCAAGGCGGGGAUCGGUAGCUGGUCUGAGAGGCUGGUCAGCCACACUGGAGCGUGGACACGGUCCAUAGUCCUGCGGGAGGCAGCAGAGGGGAAUAUGGGACAGUGGGCGCGAGCCUGGUCCAGCGAGAGCGAGUGGGUGAAAGAGACGUUGGGUUUGUAAAGACCGUUUGUUGGGAGAGAAAAGCAGUAGGUUAAUACCCCGCGGGACUGACGGUACUCAAUGAAGAAGCACCGGCUAACUACGUG
This 492-nucleotide ribosomal RNA is filed under the name uncultured bacterium. Its description in RNAcentral is "partial 16S ribosomal RNA". It matches the Rfam family "Bacterial small subunit ribosomal RNA", at positions 30 to 507 of the family's 1533-position model. The record is from RNAcentral.